This 253-nucleotide ribosomal RNA is filed under the name uncultured bacterium. RNAcentral describes it as "partial 16S ribosomal RNA". It matches the Rfam family "Bacterial small subunit ribosomal RNA", at positions 524 to 776 of the family's 1533-position model. The record is from RNAcentral.
UACGGGGGGUGCGAGCGUUGUCCGGAAUCACUGGGCGUAAAGGGCGCGUAGGUGGCGUCGUAAGUCUGUGGUGAAAGCCCGGAGCUCAACUCCGGGUCUGCCGCGGAUACUGCGAGGCUUGAGUGCUGUAGAGGGGGGUAGAAUGCCGGGUGUAGCGGUGGAAUGCGCAGAUAUCAGGAGGAACACCGAUGGCGAAGGCAGAUCUCUGGGCCGUAACUGACGCUGAGGAGCGAAAGCAUGGGGAGCGAACAGG